GACUACUGGCAGGAUCAACCAGGUAGCAUUCAUCUUUAGACCUCGAUGCAUCUCGCAAGGACGAGCGCGGAGCGGAGAGGCUCCGUGAGCUCCCCAAGGAAAGCACGAGGGUCAACCGAGCGGAAGCAAAGCUUCGACAAGUCGAGAUCGCAACGACCAGCAAAGGACCGAGCGACAACAAGGGAUAUCUCCGCACCCGAGAGCACGCGGAACGCAUCGACGCACCGACACGAGCGGGAACGCCCUAGAGACGAACGACCGCCCGUACGGAGGGCGCCGAUGCCCGCACGAUGUCACCCGACGCACAAGAGGCGGGGGAGAAACAAGGAAACCACAACGAGAGCAUGUACCGCUAAUCCGGUAUCCAGCGCAGGAACCCACCCGUCGACCGCAACCCACCCAGGGGGCGCACGAGGAAAUGAAACGGAUAGACCAAAGCAGUUCGAUGCCCGAAGCACGGAGCCUGCGGUGGGAACGUAUCCAGAUUGCCACUCACGCGUCGUCCCAACGCCGCCCGAUGGAACGCGUCCCGACGACCCGACGCCCCCGCCCGAAGGAGGAGGAACCGGACGAACGAAGACGCGGCACGAAGAAGCCUGCUAGA
Molecule: unclassified non-coding RNA, 604 nt
Filed under: Guyonia jacquesii
Lineage: Eukaryota; Viridiplantae; Streptophyta; Magnoliopsida; Myrtales; Melastomataceae
Description: partial external transcribed spacer; ETS
Source: RNAcentral